AUGAACGCUGGCGGCGUGCCUCAUACAUGCAAGUCGAGCGAACAGACGAGGAGCUUGCUCCUCUGACGUUAGCGGCGGACGGGUGAGUAGCACGUGGAUAACCUACCUAUAAGACUGGGAUAACUUCGGGAAACCGGAGCUAAUACCGGAUAAUAUAUUGAACCGCAUGGUUCAAUAGUGAAAGACGGUUUUGCUGUCACUUAUAGAUGGAUCCGCGCCGCAUUAGCUAGUUGGUAAGGUAACGGCUUACCAAGGCAACGAUGCGUAGCCGACCUGAGAGGGUGAUCGGCCACACUGGAACUGAGACACGGUCCAGACUCCUACGGGAGGCAGCAGUAGGGAAUCUUCCGCAAUGGGCGAAAGCUUGACGGAGCAACGCCGCGUGAGUGAUGAAGGUCUUCGGAUCGUAAAACUCUGUUAUUAGGGAAGAACAAAUGUGUAAGUAACUAUGCACGUCUUGACGGUACCUAAUCAGAAAGCCACGGCUAACUACGUG
This 496-nucleotide ribosomal RNA is filed under the name uncultured bacterium. RNAcentral describes it as "partial 16S ribosomal RNA". It matches the Rfam family "Bacterial small subunit ribosomal RNA", at positions 29 to 507 of the family's 1533-position model. The record is from RNAcentral.